UCUAAAGUUACAGAUUUGAAACAUCCAGGAGCACGUGACACCUUCACAAGAAAUAAUACAUCAGGAGACGAACAAGAUGACAACCACAAAGGCAACGAUUUUCCUGACUGGGCUAUUGCUUUAUUCGCAAUUGCUGGUGGAAGUAUUGCCAUUUUAUUAAUUGGAAUAAGGGCAAAACGCUUCUGUAACAAAAAACAAAAUGCUGUGAUAUAGUGGCAAUGCUUUGAUUUUGUGCCUUCGAAGAAAUCACCUCAGGUUGUUGCAGAGGGACUGUGCCUCCAAUACCAGUUAUAUAAGCCACUCUAAAUGACCAAAAUAAUCACUAUUGUACUGUACUUUAUUUCCACUUGUUUUUU
This is a long non-coding RNA of Carassius carassius (crucian carp), 356 nucleotides long. RefSeq lists it as uncharacterized. The transcript has 3 exons. NCBI's taxonomy places the organism in Eukaryota, Metazoa, Chordata, Actinopteri, Cypriniformes, Cyprinidae. The record is from RefSeq and is a predicted model, not a curated record.